Molecule: long non-coding RNA, 7347 nt
Organism: Prinia subflava (tawny-flanked prinia)
Lineage: Eukaryota; Metazoa; Chordata; Aves; Passeriformes; Cisticolidae
Exons: 3
Source: RefSeq, a predicted model, not a curated record
CUAAUUUAGACAUUUACAGACAGAUAUAAAUGCAACUAUUACUGCUCUAAUAAACUUCUGUUAGACAGUACAAAUAAAUAUUUCAAAGCUAAAAAUUGCCAGUUAGGUGUUACAUGUCCAUUUUGCUAUUCAGUUCAGAGUCAUGAUAUUUUUUAAAAACAGAUUUGAGCUAUUUGUCAAUUGUUUGUAAGCUUUAAUGUCUUUAAAGUAUCAAGUGAUUGCCUCAGAUAUUAUAGGGCCUCUCAAAUAACGCGAUAUGUUACUUUGUAACUAAUUGGAUUGAAACUUUAAUACAUACAUGUUCAGAAAUGUUAGAGUGAUGUGUAUAAAUCGUCCACCCAAGUUAUUCAUUUUUAAAAGGAUCUCAGUAGAUGGCUGAGACCAAUUGCAUUGUGAGGUAUGAAAAAGCAAGAAAUUCUCUGAACUACAAUUGUGUUUCAGUGCAUCCUCAUUAUAGUGUCCUUUGGUUGAAGAUCUCAAAGUAUUUCAAGGAGCACUGCUUUUUGGAUAUGAUAUAACAAGUUUUUUGCUGAAUCAUGAAUAAGCUUCCUUUUUCAACAGAGUUUGAGCCAUAUUGAUCUUUCCAGACCUUUUCAACCUGGCCUGUUUCAUGAUUCUAAGAUUUUUCUCCUUUUUUUGUACUAAAAGUUUUCUGGAGAUAAGGUAAUUCAGCUUUUUCUAUUAAGCUACUUUUGUUUCAUAUAUUGUGCAUCUAAAUAAACAACAGAUUUUCAGAAUAUUGCUUUUCUCAAGAGGAUAUUUAAAUCUAAAUUUUAUGUAAACUUAAAAUAGAAGUAGGUAAGAGUAUUGUUUGCAUAUUAAAUAAUUUCAUAUAAAGUAUACUGAGGUCUGUGUGUUUGUGGUUUUUUUAGGAAGGAUGUGUUUGUUGUUUUUCUGGUCAAGAUACUGUUUCCUAACCAGAUGCUUUUUCAGAAUCUUCUUGGCCAAGCUUGGAAUUGAAAGCAACAAAAGAAAAGGAGUGGGAGAGAAAUUAAAUCUGUUAUACCUCCCUCAAAAAAAUGGGAAAACUUCAGCAAACAGAUGGGUUUUGCAGCAAGCCUUCAAGGUCACCAAAUACUGGCUGCAGUGAAAUUAGAAGUAAGAUCCAUCAUGAAGGAUAUCUUUUUUCAAGUGGGAAACAGCUUUCAUACAAGUGAUCCUGAGUGUCAUGGUAACACAAGAAGAAAACUAGUUCUGAGAAAGACAACUGUUCUUGUAAAGUGGGAGUCGAUUCUAUAGCUGUCACUCAUACCUGCACAGAUUGUGCCCUGUGAACUACAGGGUUUCAGUGAUCUCUGAAAGAAAGAUAUCAAAGAAAAACUAAAUGGAAAGAAAUUAAGCAAGAUGUUCUUUGACUAACAAAAGCCAUAGUCUUUGAGAUAUGGCAGCAGGUUUUUGAGUAAAAUCUAUCUGGAAAAUCCAUACAGUGACAGGGUUCAUAUAUCCAGCUGUUUCAUCUGCCAACAAGUUUGGGGCUGUUCCAGUUUGGUUUUUAGGGACAAGUCCAGAGACAAGGCAGUCUGGGAUCAAUUCUUUGGAUGGUUGCUACUGCUAAAAUAAAUGUAAAAUUUCUUCACUGUGGUAUUUUGCAUAGUUAUUCAAAUAGCUUUAGAAAAGUCAUUUUUAAAAACUGUAACUUCUAUCUCUGUGUAGAUUGUAUGUAUUUCCUUCUUGGAGAAAUGGUGGGUACUACUGUUGCAAUAAACAGAUAUUUCAGAGAUGUGGAAUGAAAUUUGUGUUCUGCAGCUGCAGAGCUUGGUCAAACCUGAGCAGAGACCAUAUCAACAUACUGGUAAAUUACUCAAUGUAAUAUAUACAUUUAUAUGUUUCUUUUCAAAUCACUUAUUAUUUUUGCCUCCUACCCAUCUAGAAAAGAAAUCAAAUCAAAUUUCAGGAGUCGCAAGCAUUGAAGAAAAGAAAUAUACAUAUGGAUGCAUCUACAUCUACAAUCUUCAUCUGUAUCUAUAUUCUUCAUCUGCAUCUACAUAAAAUAAUCCCAGCAUCAUUUCAUUGUUGCAAUGCUAAGAAGCAUUUGGAGCACAGAGAAAUUGAAAAAUUUUGGUAAAAGAUAUCCAUGAAUAGUAACUGGUAAAAUACAUUAAUCUAAGGGACUGAAUGAAAAAAAGAUUUUUUUAAUUUUUUUUUUUUCUUUUUUCUUUUUUAUUUUUUCUUUUUCUUAUUCUUUUUUCUUUCCAUCAGGCCUGAGAACAUCUGUUGUUUUGGUAAACAUUUCCUUGAAUCAUAAUUUGAAAAAUUUUCCCAAGCAAAGAAGUAUGCUUUAGACAAAGAAAAGGAAGAAUAUCUAAAGGAGAUUUACAACAUUAGUCUCAGAAUAAUUUAAAAUAAAUCAACAAUAUUUUAUAAAAUUCUAUACGCUAAAUAUAUGUUUUAGACAUUACAAUGCUAACUAAGGAAGAAGCAAAAUUGCAAUUGUGGUGAAUACAUGUAAGGAAACUAAACAACUAUGGAAACCCCAUAUUACUCUGAAAAUGGACAGUUAAUCUCUUUCUGUGUCAAUUUUCUACCUGUGUGAAAAAUAGACAUAAAAUGGACAGCAGCAGUCUAUGUUAUCUUAGAAAAUUAAAUAACUAGUCGAUAUUGCAGAAAGAAAAACUAAGUUGCAGACAAAAUUUUAGCAAAAACUUUGGCAUCAUAUAAGAUCCAUUUUAGCAUAACAGGUAUAAAUUUCCUCCAACUUUAACCUCAGGAUUAUUCUAUUGAUUUAAAUGGAAUACACAUGCUGCAAAAUAAGCAUAUACCAAAAAAUGCUAAUGAACAAAGGAUAAGCCCACCUUAAACUUUAUAAUUGGUUUUGGCCACCUCAUAAAGAGUUGUCCAAAGUAUUUCUAUACAUCUGCUGGAAUCUAUCUACUGUUCCUAGAGAAGAGAAAGAGGACUAUAUUUGAGUUGUCAUUGUUGUUUUGCUUUGUGUGCUGGUGUUACAUUCAAAAGCAGAGAAACAUUCAAUUAGAUCUCUUCCCAGUGUGAGCUGUGCUUUCCUGUUCAAGAAGCUCCAAAAUACUGGGAGAAGACCCUCAGCUGGUGAAAAAAAUCAUCCUCCAGUUACUUCAGCAGAGAAAUGACAGUUUACACCACGUGAGGAUCUGUUCUAUGGCAUAUUUUCUUUCUGUGUUAUCGUCUGUAGAUUUCACAUUGGCUUCAGUGCAGAGAUUGCAGCUGUAUUCUUCUCAACACGGCAGCAUUGGCUGGGGAGGCAAACGUGCACACUGAGGCUUCUGGGGUAUGUUGUUGAUGUUUUCCUACAGAACAGAACAAGCCAUUUUGUAGGACAGCACAAAUCUACCCCAUGUACAUUUGCAGUAGACUUCUUAAGAACUAUGUAUUUAUACACAAAAAUAAUAGGGACCUGAUCUUUGUUAACUUUUUAAUACACAAAAUAAAGAUGUAAAAAUUAAGGGCAACAUACAUAAAAGAAGAACGUUACUUAUUAUGAAUUAGAAUUUAAUAAUUUGUACACUUAUGGUUAAGCUCUAGAAAAAGUUCAUGGCAGUAUGAAGGCCAGCUCUUUCUUUUUAAAGGUUUUUCUUACUAACUACAAAAAAGUUAUAACUUUCUAUAUUAUUGUUUAUAAGACUGGGUUGGAAACAUUUCCUAUUCUUUCAGCAGAUCACAUCUAUAAAUAAGAAUGAUGUUUACUUCUUAACAGACAGAAAAAUAACAACAAAAAUUCAAGGAAAACUCAGGUUUCCAGAUUUUAUGCAAGAUCAUCUGUUUAUUGUUCAUGAUUCUUUAGACUCUUUAAAGGAAUUUGGAAUUAGACUCAGGAAAUUUGUUUGUUCAAAUAUGUCUAAAAAUUCAGCGCAUAAAAGUUCGCACUUUGGGACAGAUAUUUGAGAAUAGUUAAUAUUAUUUGUGAAGAUACAGGGACCAAACAAAUGUGGUUUGGUUUAUGAUUUGGUUUCAGAUUUAUAUAUUUGAAAAAGAACACUGAAAAAACAGCCACUGUGGCAUGUAUGUUCUGGUCUGGAUAAUAAUAACAGUCUGCAGGAAAGGAUCAAUUCUCCCAAUAUAAUGAAGCUAUUAAAUGUUAUUGAAUAUUUUUCUCUAUAACUAAUAUUAAAUUAACUAUAAAAAAAUGUAAUGGAGUUCAUUAUCAGGGUCUAGGUUAAUCCUAUCCAACUUUAUAUGUUAAGGUACAGUAUGUAAAUUUAAGAGUAUUUUUAUGCUAGGUUUUUUUAGUAGUAAAUGGAGAAAGUUUAAUAAUUAAGAAAGUAAUUCAGGUUUUAUACUGGCAAAGCAUAUGAAAGUUCCUGUCUCCCCACAGACUGCAAAAAACUAAAAUGGAUGGUGAUCCUUUUCUAGGUUUAGGUUUGAAUUUAGGUUUGUUUGUUUGUUAUUAAAUAUGGGUCCUAUAAUUAGACACUUUAAACUUAGGAAAUAUAGAUGUUAACAAACUAGAGGUAAGACAGGGAGAAUAUUGUCAGAUGAUCACAAUUUAAGUUAUUUUUUCUUUGAUUGUGAAGGUUUUGUUUCAUUCUUAUUGGGUAUUUUUAGAAUAAAAUAUUUUCUAUGGAAAGCAUUUAAUUAUUUAUCAGUGGAACAAAUGUACUGGAAAACUUAUAAAUGUUCAUCUCUCACCCCUACUUUUUUUUUUUUUUUUUUUUAAAUAGAUAACUCCACAGUGUUUUAGACCUUUCUUGCAGUGUUUACUUUUGUUAUUCUGAUUUUGUUUUUUAAAAGUACAAUAAUGUAAAUCAGUCUUAUAUUGAAACUAAUUUGAGGUAAAUUUAUGAUAUUAAAGACAUUAAUAAAGCUUUUUUCUUUUCCAAAAUAGCAGUAUUGAAAUUCAGUCAUACUGAAGGUAUGUAUAUAAGAUACCACUGUAGGUGGUAUCUUAUCUCUAUAUGUUAAUUACUUUAAUAAAGACUACUAUAGCCUUCUUACAGUUGUACAAACUAAAUACAAGUGGUAUGCUAUAAUGUAAGUACAAGAAAAAAAAUUGUCUUGAAAGCAAUAAAAGCAAAGCUAAAAGUGUAGCAUCAGGUGCAAAGAUUUUUCUUUUUCAAAUAAUUUUCAAGAUGUUCUAUUACAACUGCUUGCUUUUGUUUAUGUUUAUGGUAAAUUAUUAUCAUUUGGUGUUCCUUUGUAUGAAAAAUAAUGUUUUCAGACAAGUACUGGAUAUCACAAAAGCUAAAUAUAUACUGUUCAUUAUUAAAAGUACAGCUUGUCAGAAAAUAUGGAAAAUCUGUAAAGCAGAAUUUUCUUCUACUUUGUGAAGGAAUUCUUCUCACUGAAAGAGGACAAAUAGCACUGUUCCCAAACCAUAUUUAAAUAUUUUACCUUUCUAAGUGUUGGGUACUUAAGUAUGACUUCUGACUUCUCAGUACUUGCACAUAAGAUGGUAAAGUCUCUUCAUAUUCUGUAACAGCAUAAUACAGAACCAAAAAGUAGAGAAAACACUACAGAUCUGAGGAAAAGGAAUUAGAAUCCCAAGUUUCCAUAAACUUAGACAUUUUCAAGUAGACUCUCCAAGCAUUUUAAAUAACUACUUAGUCAAAGCACAGUACAGAGAUCACAUAGGUUUAUGAGCACCAUUUUCUCUUUCAUAUAAAUAACAACACUCAGCAGUCUUGUGAGUUACUUGAACUCACACAACAGUUUAGGCAGAACUAAGACCAGCCAAUUUAAAAAGUCUGACUUUCAAAUUGCACGCCUACAUUAAAUGAAUGCAAAUAUACUUAUGGAACAGCAUUAUCUCUGUUUUCUUUUGAUAUCGCUUCAUUGGCUGGACUUAGUAAUUGUUUGGUUAUUUUCUUACAGAUUUGUUCUCAUGUAUCUCAGUAUUUUCUAGAGAGUGUGAAUUUAACCAUACAAACAAAACAGACACCCAUUGGCAGUUAUGAGCAUCUCUGUUAUGAGGGAUAAUACAAGAUAAAUACUGGAAAGAAAAGCGCAGCUAUGGAAAUGCUGUCAUAAUUCAUAAGAAAAAAAACCCUCCAAAAUGAUACUACUCACAGGUGAAUGAGAUAAUCUUUAUAAUGGCAGGUUGAAAGAACAGAUAUAUGGAACUGUCAGUCAACAAACAACUACCCUCCAUAAAUUUUAUCAGCUAAAGAUUGUACCAGAAUACAAGUAAAUGGGAAUUACAUCAGCUCAUUUUAACCUCUAAAAUAUGGAUGUCUCUAGCACAGAUGUCAUUGAAUAAAGUACCCUUUGGGCAUUUCACAUACAAAUUCCUGUGAGAUCAGGCAUGAUCAGUGAAAUAAAUGUCUGUCUUAGAAAAGAAAACCAGUGAAGUUGACUUGUAAAAUUUUAUAAGGUCUAGGGGCUUCUUAUGAGCAACAACAAUUGGAACUGGGAGAAAGAAAAUCCAAUAAACUGUCAACUUAUGUUUGUUAAUUGAUGUUAUCCCUAAUUCCUUUUUUCUUUUGAUUAUCAAAUAUGUGUUCAUUAAUCAAUAUUAAUUUUAUUUUGGUCUAGAUGAAAACAUUUUUUCCACAGAAUACAUUAUAAUCACAUUACUUAGAAUCUAGUAUGAAUAUGAAAAGGAAAAAAAUACUUGUGUGAAUUUAUAUGCUAGUAUUAUACACAAAUAAUAUUUAGCAAGUUGACAUAGAUGAAAAAUCUUUUCAGCCUAUACUGGUGAUGCCAUUUAUCUUUUAAAUUUAAUGUUAAUUUAUUCUCAAUGGCUAAGGAAAUAAAGGUCAAAUUACAUUCCCUCUCCUAUAAAGUGUAACACAGAUGACAUGACAAGUGCAUGCUUAAUGCCAAGCAGCCAAGUCUUGACUCACUUGGAGCGUAGUUACAGACACAGGCAUCUCUGUUGAGAUUAAUGGGAUGGGUUAUGUGCAUGGUAAAGGUAUCCUGAUAAAGGGAUUUCCAAUCUCAUCUACAGAUUGUUCAUUUCUGAAGUGAGCACCCUGCCUUCAUAUUUGUCUUCAGAGUAUAAGGAUUUUUGUAUUAAAAUUUGUGCAUGGACACAUUUGCUAUGCAUAUGCAAAUAUAUAUGUAUAUGUAUAUGUAUAUAUGUGUACACAGACACAUACAUAUAUACUGUUUACAUAGGGAUGCAUUGUACUACAAAUCUUAUAAUUAAACCAAAUUUUUCAUUUUACAGAGGCACAUCGUUCUGCACAAACCUUUUUUCUCCAUCUUGAAUAAGACAUCACUCAAAAUGUUCAUGACACUCAGCAGCUAUUACCAUGGGGGAUAAAGAAGCUUCUUAGAAGAAAACACAGGAACUGAUAAACAGACACCAUUAAAAAGUUUUUUCAUGCUAGUAUUCAACCAAAAUUAGAGUUAUCUUUUGCUUUGAUGUUACCAUUUGUAGUAUAACCCUUAUUUAGUUGUUUUGAUGCAUGCAAUAAUUGAUACUUCAAUAAUAAA